AUGGCCUGCUCGAUGGCAGAAAGGAAGGAGGCAGCAGGGAGGAACUCGCCAUGGAGAAAGGAGGAGGAGCUCGGCAUGGCGACGACGAGGGACUCAAGGAAUGGGAGAAGUCGUUCCUUGAGCUUUCUCAAGGGAGUUGAGGCACGGCGAAAAAGAGAAGGGAAGUGCGCGCGGGAGUUGCGUGAAGCAUGGGGAAGCUGCGAGGUGUCGCCGAUGAGUGGGCAAGCGAGCGUGGUCAGAAAGGGGGAAGGGGACGGUACUGCGGGUUAUGUUGGGAAAAGACAGUUUUAUUUAUUUUGCAAAAUUCACGCGGCGCCAUCCUUUUCCGGACGGAGGGAGUACUACAUUGUAGAUCAGAUUUGCAUAGUUCUACCAAAUGCCUUGAUUUGA
RNAcentral lists this ribosomal RNA (390 nucleotides) under Triticum aestivum (bread wheat). Its description in RNAcentral is "partial small subunit ribosomal RNA". Lineage: Eukaryota; Viridiplantae; Streptophyta; Magnoliopsida; Poales; Poaceae. The record is from RNAcentral.